This 497-nucleotide ribosomal RNA is filed under the name uncultured bacterium. Its description in RNAcentral is "partial 16S ribosomal RNA". It matches the Rfam family "Bacterial small subunit ribosomal RNA", at positions 28 to 507 of the family's 1533-position model. The record is from RNAcentral.
GACGAACGCUGGCGGCGUGCCUAAUACAUGCAAGUUGAGCGAUGAAGAUUGGUGCUUGCACCAAUUUGAAGAGCAGCGAACGGGUGAGUAACGCGUGGGGAAUCUGCCUUUGAGCGGGGGACAACAUUUGGAAACGAAUGCUAAUACCGCAUAACAACUUUAAACAUAAGUUUUAAGUUUGAAAGAUGCAAUUGCAUCACUCAAAGAUGAUCCCGCGUUGUAUUAGCUAGUUGGUGAGGUAAAGGCUCACCCAGGCGAUGAUACAUAGCCGACCUGAGAGGGUGGUCGGCCACAUUGGGACUGAGACACGGCCCAAACUCCUACGGGAGGCAGCAGUAGGGAAUCUUCGGCAAUGGACGAAAGUCUGGCCGAGCAACGCCGCGUGAGUGAAGAAGGUUUUCGGAUCGUAAAACUCUGUUGGUAGAGAAGAACGUUGGUGAGAGUGGAAAGCUCAUCAAGUGACGGUAACUACCCAGAAAGGGACGGCUAACUACGUG